Molecule: long non-coding RNA, 1541 nt
Filed under: Numida meleagris (helmeted guineafowl)
Lineage: Eukaryota; Metazoa; Chordata; Aves; Galliformes; Numididae
Description: lncRNA (ENSNMEG00000019172.1)
Source: RNAcentral
GGCUGUUGUCAAUCAAUUCUAAUUUAGUACUUUUUUCAUUACUUUUCUCCUCAUCUAGGUGUAAUUUUCACAAUCCAUCUCCUUUCUCUUCAGUUGCUCUAUAAUGUACCCCAUUAGCUUUAAUAUUCUUCAAUAUCUUACCUAUUUGGGGGCCUUCUUCAAUCACAGCUUCUUUUUCUUUUCCGUUCCUGCUAGAAUCCGUUUUUUGCACUGUUUCUUAUUGCCAACCAACACCUCAGCCCUUAAUUGCUAACCUUUUUACAAUGACAUCUGAUGUAUUUUCUGUUUGAUGCAUAUUGUUUCUGAAGAACAAACUGUUUCCACAGCCUGCGAACCCUCUUAGAAAUUAGCUACUCUUUAUGCCGCUCUGUGACACAAUAUACCCAACCGAGGCUUCAAAGAGCAAGAGAGAGAAGUCUGGGCAAAGAUAAAGCAGGGCCUUUGUUAAACAGAGUGUUUCUGCAUCCAUCUUACUCUGGGCAAAACUCCGAUAAUCCACAAUACUAUAGCUUUCAUGUGCUGGGGCACCAUGCCAGUGUUGCAACUGCUGCAGAAGGUGCAGCCCACGUACUGGCAAGCAAAUCAUCCUUGGUUUUGAGGAGGACUACUGCAACAGAGAUAAAAAGGAUUUCCCAUGAGUGGAAGCCUUCUCUGUUGGGAUACCAACAGGUACAGGAAAUCAGUAUGAGGGCUUCAGAGGCUUCAGCUUCACCAAAAAGCAGAAUGUCUCUUUUUUUCUCCACUGCCAGAAAAAGAAGUGGAGACAUAGUCCUGCUACCCAUAGGGAACCAAUGGAAAACUACAGAAGGAUCUCAAAAGUUAUAAACUUGGUCUUCCUAAUCAAAAGAUUUUGCACCCAAUCACGUAUGGCAAGUGCGAAAGUUUUCUUCUACAAUGGAGUGUUGCAAAGCCAUUAUAUUCCAUUUACUUUUCAUCUCUCACACUUAAAACGCUUCGUAGAAUCAUAGAAUGGCAUGGGUUGGAAGGAACCUUUAAUGAUCAACAAGCUCCAGCCCCCUGCUGUGGGCAGGAUUGCCAUCCACUAGGUCAGGCUGCCCAGGGCCAUAUCCAACCUGGCCUUGAAUGCCUCCAGGGAUGGAGCAUCCACAACUUCUUUGGGCAGCCUGUUUCAGCACCUCACCACACUUCAAACAAAGAAUUCCUUUCUAACAUCUAACCUAAAUUCCCCCUCUUUUAGUUUAAAGCCAUUCCCUGUUGUCCUAUCUUUCUUAGAUCAUGUAAAAAGUUGUUCUUCUUCCUGCUUAUAAGCUCCCUUCAAGUUUCCAUUUCCAUUUCUUUUUCCAUUUCUAUUUAUUCUCUCCUUCUCUUUCCAUUUCUCCUGCUAUCUCUUAAAAACACAAUUGCUUAGACCAGCCAAAUAGAAUCUACAAAGUUAGGAAAAUAUAACCUUCAAUCACGUUGAUUUUAAUUAGUGGCCACAGAAAUGUUUGUUUUCACCAAAGAGCUUUGAAUUAUGAAAAACAAAUGAAGAUUUUUUUAAUUGCAAACAGAAUUUUGUAUAUAUUGUCUUUGUUUUGAUA